Molecule: ribosomal RNA, 659 nt
Filed under: Torulaspora delbrueckii
Lineage: Eukaryota; Fungi; Ascomycota; Saccharomycetes; Saccharomycetales; Saccharomycetaceae
Description: partial 26S ribosomal RNA
Source: RNAcentral
UAAGUCGCAGUCCUCAGUCCCAGCUGGCAGUAUUUCUACAGGAUAUAACACUUACCGAGGCAAGCUACAUUCCUGCAGAUUUAUCCUGCCGCCAAAACUGAUGCUGGCCCAGUGAGCUGCGAGAUUCCCCCACCCACAAGGAGCAGAGGGCGCAAAACACCAUGUCUGAUCAAAUGCCCUUCCCUUUCAACAAUUUCACGUACUUUUUCACUCUCUUUUCAAAGUUCUUUUCAUCUUUCCAUCACUGUACUUGUUCGCUAUCGGUCUCUCGCCAAUAUUUAGCUUUAGAUGGAAUUUACCACCCACUUAGAGCUGCAUUCCCAAACAACUCGACUCUUCGAAAGCACUUUACAAAGAACUGGGAUCCUCGCCACACGGGAUUCUCACCCUCUAUGACGUCCUGUUCCAAGGAACAUAGACAAGGACCAGCCCCAAAGUUACCUUCUACAAAUUACAACUCGGGCACCGAAGGUACCAGAUUUCAAAUUUGAGCUUUUGCCGCUUCACUCGCCGUUACUAAGGCAAUCCCGGUUGGUUUCUUUUCCUCCGCUUAUUGAUAUGCUUAAGUUCAGCGGGUAUUCCUACCUGAUUUGAGGUCAAACUUUGAGAGUAUUGUUCGCCGGAUUGCGUAUGCGAAAAGCUCAAACAAACGAUAAAUC